AAAUACCUUGCUGUAUAAAUAAGUUAUCAUUGUAAAUGAGAAUUUGUUAACCAACUCACCUGGUAAAAUAGAACAACAAACAUUUUUUUUUUCUUCUCAAAGUCAAAUGCUUCUUCAUGCUUCAGACCUGCUCAAGUGAAGACACUGAAAAACGAUCUGGAUAGACUUUGAUUGAAACAGAUCUCCAAGAAGAUGUGCGCUUAAUUCAGAUAGGUUUAAUUCUCGGAAAAGAUUUUUUUCUUUUCACCUGCGUGCCAAUCGAUAAUACAAUCGAGGUGGAAUCGCGCCUUAUACGAGUCUCCGAUGUGCAAGACCUUACGUACUGUAACUCUUGCAACGGGGGGAGAGAAUUUCAGCUACACCAUGAGGGAAAGCGUGCUCGAAGUGAAUGUGAGCUGAAAAAGAAAGGAAGAAAGAAAGAAAAGUGCUUCACCUCACACAAGAAACGACCUGCAUCUCCAUCUCCGGGUCUGCAUGGUGUGGCCAGCACAGUUCACGCCAGGGGUAACCCGUGCUGUGCGAAGGGGCGGGAUUUGCGCCUCUCCUCUUUGCUCUGCCCGUGUCCGUCCUGUGGCUGGGAGAGCUCUCUUCCUUUCGCGUCUUUCCUUUCCAUCUGCCUGCUUCCCUCUUUCUCUCUCGGCCCCCCCUCCUCUUGCUCAGUUCCCCCUUCAGCUGUGCCCGCGGAGAGCUCCCAGCCAGCCAGUCGCCUCUGAACGCUGCUCACACAUUAAUGGCGGCCUCUUCGGAGGACGAAACAGACCGCCGGCCCAUCAGGAGAGUGCGGUCCAAGAGCGAUACCCCUUACCUCGCCGAAGCCAGGAUCUCCUUCAACCUGGAGACAGGCCUCCAGGCAAUUGGUGAAUCUCUACUCAGCAGAAUGCAGAGCGAGUCUUUUCUGACCUGUCCCAGCCAUGACCCUGGGCAAGCUCUGCCACUUGGGGUGCCGUCAUGCCUGUGGCCCCAGCUGGUGACGUGUGAAACACAGAGCUGAAGCUGCACUUCGAGACAGCUCCUUUCCUGCUCCACCUCCCCAGACUUGCUGACAACACAGUGAUGAGAGAGAAUCUACUGUCUCCAAAGAGAGGAGAUCCUGCGUCCACACUCUCUUCGUCGCAAUUAAAGAAUUGUCAUUUUGUACUGAAAAGAUUAACCUAGUCAGUGCUAAGAUUUACUCUCAUGGGGGUGUGCUUUUGCCUCUUUUGUACUUUAAAGUCUUUGUACAUUUAUAUUAGUUCAUGUGAGUCAGAUUUCAGUUGGAAUAAAAAAAAACCACAAUUGAAAGAAAGAGGGCAAAAACCUUAAAAUACCACAUGACACUUUCCAAGAAAUUAUACAUACUAUUUAUGAGAUUUAACUAGCAUGAGACUUGUUAUCUGAGUUAAUUGGCAAUAUUUUUGCAUCUUUCUACUUCAAACGGGCUGUAUUAAAUUUUAAAAUAUCCUGGAGCUAUUAUUUGUCAUUUACACAUCAGGGCAAAGAAGUCCUGUUCUGAUCUGAUCUGGAGUGGUCCUUUCACUCUGCAAGAUAAAAUUAUUUUUAUCAAGUCCCUUUUGUGACCCUGUGGACUCUUAGAGAAGAUAAAAGACAAAGUGUGGUAACUGAUUUGCAC
Long non-coding RNA from Lepisosteus oculatus (spotted gar), 1609 nucleotides. The record is from Ensembl. Lineage: Eukaryota; Metazoa; Chordata; Actinopteri; Semionotiformes; Lepisosteidae.